RNAcentral lists this ribosomal RNA (253 nucleotides) under uncultured bacterium. Its description in RNAcentral is "partial 16S ribosomal RNA". It matches the Rfam family "Bacterial small subunit ribosomal RNA", at positions 524 to 776 of the family's 1533-position model. The record is from RNAcentral.
AACGUAGGAGACAAACGUUAUCCGGAGUUACUGGGCGUAAAGGGCGUGUAGGCGGUUCGUUAAGUCUGGCGUGAAAGCUCUCGGCUAAACCGGGAGAGGUCGUUGGAUACUGGCAAACUAGAGGACGGUAGAGGCGUGUGGAAUUCCGGGUGUAGUGGUGGAAUGCGUAGAGAUCCGGAGGAACACCAGCGGCGAAGGCGGCAUCCUGGACUGGUCCUGACACUCAGGAGCGAAAGCGUGGGGAGCGAUCCGG